RNAcentral lists this non-coding RNA (21 nucleotides) under Caenorhabditis elegans. Lineage: Eukaryota; Metazoa; Nematoda; Chromadorea; Rhabditida; Rhabditidae. The record is from RNAcentral.
UCGUCAUAAUUUUUUUAAACU